This 460-nucleotide ribosomal RNA is filed under the name uncultured bacterium. Its description in RNAcentral is "partial 16S ribosomal RNA". It matches the Rfam family "Bacterial small subunit ribosomal RNA", at positions 338 to 795 of the family's 1533-position model. The record is from RNAcentral.
CCUACGGGAGACUGCAGUGAGGAAUAUUGGUCAAUGGACGAGAGUCUGAACCAGCCAAGUAGCGUGCAGGAUGACUGCCCUAUGGGUUGUAAACUUCUUUUAUACAGGAAUAAAACGAGGCACGUGUGCCCUUUUGCAUGUACUUUAUGAAUAAGGAUCGGCUAACUCCGUGCCAGCAGCCGCGGUAAUACGGAGGAUCCGAGCGUUAUCCGGAUUUAUUGGGUUUAAAGGGAGCGUAGAUGGGUUGUUAAGUCAGUUGUGAAAGUUUGCGGGUCAACCGUAAAAUUGCAGUUGAUACUGGCAGUCUUGAGUACAGUUGAGGUAGGCGGAAUUCGUGGUGUAGCGGUGAAAUGCUUAGAUAUCACGAAGAACCCCGAUUGCGAAGGCAGCUUACUAAACUGUGACUGACAUUGAGGCUCGAAAGUGUGGGUAUCAAACAGGAUUAGAUACCCGAGUAGUC